CCCAAAGAACAGAAAAAAAUCCCAUCAUGCUUCAAGGGAACAAAGUGAGAAUUCUGGCACUUGAUUGAGGAUGAAAGUAUUGGCUAAUCAAAACAAGAUCAAGAACAAAGACCAUGAAGUACAAGACGAAGGAAGAAGAUAUUUAGUCCAUAAUAAUGAGAUUUUGAUCCAGCAUUUAUCCCAGAACACUAUGCUCAGUGAGUAA
RNAcentral lists this long non-coding RNA (205 nucleotides) under Chrysolophus pictus (golden pheasant). Its description in RNAcentral is "lncRNA (ENSCPIG00010007772.1)". Lineage: Eukaryota; Metazoa; Chordata; Aves; Galliformes; Phasianidae. The record is from RNAcentral.